CAAGUUAUCAAAUCAUACAGCUUCUUACCCUAAACAUAUUUUAAAACAAACGAGGUAGUCAUAUUUAACAUUUUAAUGAUCAAUUUCCUUAUUAUUGAUAAAGGUUUAACUAUCACAUGAAGGGAAUUGCAUUUGUAAUAGCCCCAAAAAAGGCUGUAAACUGUUUAACAAACUAUAAAAUGCCAUAAAGCCGGGGAUGUUGUUGUUGUUUAUACCGCACUACAUAAAAGCCGUUAGGAUUUUACGAGUUCUUUCCUCUACUGCUAUAAAACAGAGGUUUCGAUUGGACCCGUCCGCAUUACAGCGAGAUGUUGAGGUGUCAAUAUUGAAUUAAAACGAUUAUAGUUUUUCAUAUAUAACAUUGACUUUUUGAAUCUCUCUCCUAGCCCCCUCCCAGCCUCCUCCCCGGUGCCCAGCUCACACAGAGGAGUUGUUCAAGAUGUGUUUGGGGAUGAUUACAAACUAAAAGUAUUGUUUCGCUUAUCACAUCCAGAACAGAACCUUUAUGGUCAGUAACUGAUGGCUGCUUCCCUACCUCACCCCGUCCUCAAUAACUUUUUUUUUUUUUUUUUCAUGAUACUUAUGAAAACUAGGGAGAAAAGGGGGAUGGGAUAAGUGAAAUAAGAGAGAGGCUUUCUAUUUUAUUGACAUUUGUUAAGAACGAAGUAAACUUACCCCUAAGAUGCCAACGCUGCAAAUUUCCACAGUCUAAACACACAGGGGGUAGAUUUUGAAAUUCAUUUAUCGCAGUCAGCAAAUAUUACAGAGACGUAUUUCAGCUAAUAACGACACCAAACCCUCCCAACUUAAAUGCUGUCCCAGCGUGCCUGACACCCACGACGCCUCUCCAAGCCCCUCGCAUUGCCAUCUCUAUUUUCCAAUCCUUCAACCUCCAGUAGAAGUUAAAGACACUCUUCUAAACAUUUCUUUUUAUUUUCCCUUUUCCCUAGGUAGAUUUCUGCUGAAAUCCAUUGCAUCCAUCUGCGCAAUAUUGACACAGAAAGAGCUUCCUCAAAGAAAGGAUUUUUUAAAGAAGUGAAAUAUUGCCCUUUAGAGCGCCCA
RNAcentral lists this long non-coding RNA (1062 nucleotides) under Anas platyrhynchos (mallard). Its description in RNAcentral is "lncRNA (ENSAPLG00020002932.1)". Lineage: Eukaryota; Metazoa; Chordata; Aves; Anseriformes; Anatidae. The record is from RNAcentral.